UACGUAGGUGGCAAGCGUUAUCCGGAAUUAUUGGGCGUAAAGCGCGCGUAGGCGGUUUCUUACGUCUGAUGUGAAAGCCCACGGCUCAACCGUGGAGGGUCAUUGGAAACUGGGGAACUUGAGUGCAGAAGAGAAAAGCGGAAUUCCACGUGUAGCGGUGAAAUGCGUAGAGAUGUGGAGGAACACCAGUGGCGAAGGCGGCUUUUUGGUCUGUAACUGACGCUGAGGCGCGAAAGCGUGGGGAGCAAACAGG
RNAcentral lists this ribosomal RNA (253 nucleotides) under uncultured bacterium. Its description in RNAcentral is "partial 16S ribosomal RNA". It matches the Rfam family "Bacterial small subunit ribosomal RNA", at positions 524 to 776 of the family's 1533-position model. The record is from RNAcentral.